This is a long non-coding RNA of Cygnus olor (mute swan), 603 nucleotides long. RefSeq lists it as uncharacterized. The record is from RefSeq and is a predicted model, not a curated record. Lineage: Eukaryota; Metazoa; Chordata; Aves; Anseriformes; Anatidae. The transcript is spliced from 3 exons.
UGCUUGGCUAGCAUGUGUCCAAGUCCUGGGCUUCCUCACUGCAGUCUGUUCUAUGUUCCUAUUAAAUCCUACUUCUAACUCUCUCUUACACGUGCGCAUGUGUGUGUGUGUCUGUGGGUCUCUGUGUCUGUGUGUUCAGCCUCCCUGUUCCCUGUUGAGAAGGAACUGAAUAGCCUAACAUGAACAUGGCUGGGACAGAAGAACUCUCACAGGUCCUGCAGUCUACCAAAUUCACCUACCUUAGCUCACAGAAGGAAGUUAGAAGCAUGCUGACUGUGACCUUCCAGCCUUUCAUUCCCUGAAACCAGGUCCUGUGCUACCUUUAGAUGUCAAGACUUAUGCUGCAGGGAUAACCAGGUGAACUGCAGCGAAUUAGCUCUCAAAAUAAGUGGAUACUCCUACUCAACUGCAAACUCAAGUUCAUGUGUAGUACACCAUGGUGACCUGGAGAGCUACAACUGGGAUGGUGAUAUUAAAAGCAAAUUUUUUUUCUCUCUUUUUUUUUUUUUUUGGCUGUCACUGAUAAAGUGGGCAACACUAAACAAGUCAUGAUUGAUCAUUUUUCUGAAAUUACCUCAUCUAUAUGAGGCCACUGUGUAAUAU